Molecule: long non-coding RNA, 416 nt
Filed under: Brassica napus (rape)
Lineage: Eukaryota; Viridiplantae; Streptophyta; Magnoliopsida; Brassicales; Brassicaceae
Description: long non-coding RNA (BNAP_LNC005835)
Source: RNAcentral
UUUUAUGAUUUUAUAUGCAGUGACAGGACCAAAAAGCUGAAUUUUAUGUAUUUUAGAAUUGAAUUAGAUUAUUAUUAUUAUUGUAUUACAAAUGAAAUAAUUUGGACCGUCUGUGUCGGUUUCAAUAGAUCUUUUCCUCUCUAAUCCCAAAUCUUUGAUUUUUCUCUAAAUUAAGAAAAAGGUAUUGGCAGUUAGCUACUCGUUUUCUUUCAACUGUUAUCUGAAGCCGCCCGAUUAUUAUACCACUGUAUAUAUUAUUUAAUAAGUAGUGAUCCUUGUUACAUAAAAAAAGUAGUGAUCCCAGUAUUAACAUCUUAGUUACACAGAAAUAAAAAAACUAUAGAACAAUCCAAUGCUCGUGACGGUUUGGAUUUCAUAUUUGUGACAUGUUAUUUUAUAACCAUAUUAAGCUUUGA